This 215-nucleotide ribosomal RNA is filed under the name Gentiana heleonastes. Lineage: Eukaryota; Viridiplantae; Streptophyta; Magnoliopsida; Gentianales; Gentianaceae. The record is from RNAcentral.
UCGAAUCCUGCUGAGCRACGACCUGAGAACAUGUUUAUCGCACGGGUGUCGGGCCGGAGAAACAUGCGGACCCGUCCCGAGCACGACGUCGACCACCGGUCUGANNCAACAACCAACCCCGGGUCGCAGAAACNCAAGGAAAACGUAAAAAGGAUUGUCUGCUUCCCGUAGUUCCGUAUACGUGCGACGGAGGAUCACGGAGACCUAAAGAAACA